CCUACGGGUGGCAGCAGGGAGGAAUAUUGGUCAAUGGGCGCGAGCCUGAACCAGCCAAGUAGCGUGAAGGAUGAAGGCGCUACGGGUUGUAAACUUCUUUUAUAAAGGAAUAAAGUGAGGCACGUGGGCCUGAUUGUAUGUACUUUAUGAAUAAGGAUCGGCUAACUCCGUGCCAGCAGCCGCGGUAAUACGGAGGAUCCGAGCGUUAUCCGGAUUUAUUGGGUUUAAAGGGAGCGUAGAGGGGUUGUUAAGUCAGUUGUGAAAGUUUGCGGCUCAACCGUAAAAUUGCUAUUGCUACUGGCAGUCUUGUGUUCAUUUGAGGUAGGCGGCAUUCGUGUUGUAGCGGU
RNAcentral lists this ribosomal RNA (347 nucleotides) under uncultured bacterium. Its description in RNAcentral is "partial 16S ribosomal RNA". It matches the Rfam family "Bacterial small subunit ribosomal RNA", at positions 338 to 682 of the family's 1533-position model. The record is from RNAcentral.